RNAcentral lists this transfer RNA (57 nucleotides) under Chaetogammarus marinus. Its description in RNAcentral is "tRNA-Gln". The record is from RNAcentral. Lineage: Eukaryota; Metazoa; Arthropoda; Malacostraca; Amphipoda; Gammaridae.
UUAUCUUAGUGUAAAGAGCACGCAAUUUUUUGAUAUUUGAGGUACAAGUAGAUAGCC